Punica granatum (pomegranate) is the source of this 2135-nucleotide non-coding RNA. The record is from RefSeq and is a predicted model, not a curated record. Lineage: Eukaryota; Viridiplantae; Streptophyta; Magnoliopsida; Myrtales; Lythraceae.
AUUGGGUGCCGACAAGCAGCCUUCAGAAGGGUAUGAUAUGAGACAGACAAUAGGGACAUAUUAGUGGAGCUGCUUGAGGAAGGACCUCUUUCUUUCUUCUUGACCCAGUAAAGGAAAACAAAGAGGGCCAACAUUGACACUCCCAAGAGCGCAGAUACGAUUGAGACGGCUAAUCUCAAGGAGGUUCAGGUUCUCUAAGGAUCUUGGGAUGUCACCUGAAAGAUUGUUCAAGGAAAGAUCUAAUUUUUCUAAACCCAUCAAUGAGCCUAUAGACUGUGGAAUUGUACCUUGAAAUCUAUUCCCCCUCAUGCCGAGCUCCUCCAAUCUUAUACAAGCUCCUAGAGUGGCAGGAAUAUUGCCCAAAAAUUGGUUGUCUGAGACAUUAAGGACUUCCAAAUUUAUCAAAUUUCCAACUUGAAAGGGCAGAAUACCUACCAAAUUAUUUCCAGAAAAGUCCAAUGCAUACAACGAUGGAAGGCCAAAAAUCUCAAUGGGUACGGGACCAGUAAUGUUGUUAUUUGAAAGAUCAAGAACGACUAAACGUUGCAGCAUGCCUAGACUUGUGGGUAUUUUCCCCUCCAUGAAGUUGGUACCUAGAUACAAAAUGCUCAGUUGGGUCAGAUUAUCGACGGAUGAUGGAAUUCGACCAGUCAAUUGAUUUUGGUGGAGGUACCAAUUGACGAGCUUUUGGAGCUUUCCUAAGCUCCUGGGAAUUAUACCCGAAAUUUGAUUGUUCGACAAAGAGAAGAGUUCCAAAUUGACAAGAUUGCCAAUUGCGCAAGGGAUCUCUCCAUAUAUCUGAUUGUUUGCCAUAGAAAACUCUGUAAGGUCCAUCGAAAAGUUGCCGAUAGUUUCUGGUAAUUUUCCACCGAAGUAAUUUGCGCCUGCAGCGACAGAUCGCAGCCCCGUUGCAUUGACUAAUGAACGGAGAAAGUUUAGGUCAUUGGCUCCACCAGUUCCCAGACAGUUGGCCCCAAUAUAUAAUUGCUGAAGCUUAUGCAACUUUGAUAAGGAAGGAACCGACCCCGAGAACUGGUUGGUUGGAGCCUGAAAACUUAACAAGUUUGAUGCGUUUGAUAUUGAAGUGGGGAUCGGCCCAGAAAAAUUAUUACUACCAAGAACUAUAUGCUGAAGAUUUGGGAGAGUGAUGAACAGGUCAGGAGGCAGACUUCCUCGGAGUUCAUUGUUUGCACCUAAAUCAAGAAUUGUCAGAGUCGAUAAAUUGAAAGUUGAGAGAGGAAUUGUACCAAACAGAUUGUUCGAGGAAAGCCCAAGGAAACGGAUAUGCUUGAGCCGACCAAGGGAAUCUGGGAUGCUUCCAUACAGACCAUUGUAAGCUGCGGAGAGCACGUUCAGAGAAGACAAAUUGCCAAUGGAAGCAGGUAUUUUUCCAAUGAAAUGGUUUCGGUGAAUACCGAGGUACUGAAGCUCUGUUAAAGAGCCCAACUCUUUUGGGAUCUCUCCCACAAGCUGGUUACCACCAAUACCGAUGAAGAUAAGGCCAGAGCAAUUGGAUAAGUAGGGCGGAAUCGCACCAUUCAGCGAGUUGUUAAACAGCUCUAACAUCUGUAGUCUCUUCAAAUACCCGAUUACCAGUGGGAUUUCACCGGUGAACUCGUUAUUUGAAAUAUUAACAAUUCUGAGGAAGCUUAAAUUCCCUAUGUGAGGUGCAAUUGUGCCGGCGAGCUUGAGGGAUUGAAGAUCGAGAACGGUGACCCUCUGAUGCCUUCUGCCGCAAGUGAUCCCUCGCCACUCGCAAAAGUGGAGGGUGUCAUUCCAAGAAUCGAGUGCCCCAAAUGGGUCAUCCCUUAUCAGGGAUUUGCAUGCAAGCAAGGAAAGCCUGUCGGUUUCAUUUCCUCUCAUCGAGCAAGUAGACAGCCCAAUGACUGAAAAGAGAAGAAUAAAUCUCAUAUAAAAAGAAGAUGAUGAAAGCAUUCUUGGAGAGAAAAAAGAGAACAUGUCGAGGAAGUUUGAUGGAAAGGGAAAGAGGCGGUAUACUUUGUUGUAUAGGAAGUACUUGUAUAAAUAGGCUUAUUGACAGUACUGGGGAUGGAGCUGACCUUUCAUGAAGUUUCGAUAUUGUAUUAGUUAUUUCAUUAGGAACAAAAAGAGAAAAUAUCAGAUUUCAUUAUCCA